Molecule: transfer RNA, 81 nt
Filed under: Rhodovulum marinum
Lineage: Bacteria; Pseudomonadati; Pseudomonadota; Alphaproteobacteria; Rhodobacterales; Paracoccaceae
Description: tRNA-Leu
Rfam family: tRNA
About the family: Transfer RNA (tRNA) molecules are approximately 80 nucleotides in length. Their secondary structure includes four short double-helical elements and three loops (D, anti-codon, and T loops).
Source: RNAcentral
GCCCGAGUGGCGAAAUGGUAGACGCAGGGGAUUCAAAAUCCCCCGCCGCAAGGCGUGUCGGUUCGAGUCCGACCUCGGGCA